ACACUAUCAUUAACUGAAUCCAUAGGUUAAUGAGGCGAACCGGGGGAACUGAAACAUCUAAGUACCCCGAGGAAAAGAAAUCAACCGAGAUUCCCCCAGUAGCGGCGAGCGAACGGGGAGCAGCCCAGAGCCUGAAUCAGUGUGUGUGUUAGUGGAAGCGUCUGGAAAGGCGCGCGAUACAGGGUGACAGCCCCGUACACAAAAAUGCACAUGCUGUGAGCUCGAUGAGUAGGGCGGGACACGUGGUAUCCUGUCUGAAUAUGGGGGGACCAUCCUCCAAGGCUAAAUACUCCUGACUGACCGAUAGUGAACCAGUACCGUGAGGGAAAGGCGAAAAGAACCCCGGCGAGGGGAGUGAAAAAGAACCUGAAACCGUGUACGUACAAGCAGUGGGAGCACGCUUAGGCGUGUGACUGCGUACCUUUUGUAUAAUGGGUCAGCGACUUAUAUUCUGUAGCAAGGUUAACCGAAUAGGGGAGCCGAAGGGAAACCGAGUCUUAACUGGGCGUUAAGUUGCAGGGUAUAGACCCGAAACCCGGUGAUCUAGCCAUGGGCAGGUUGAAGGUUGGGUAACACUAACUGGAGGACCGAACCGACUAAUGUUGAAAAAUUAGCGGAUGACUUGUGGCUGGGGGUGAAAGGCCAAUCAAACCGGGAGAUAGCUGGUUCUCCCCGAAAGCUAUUUAGGUAGCGCCUCGUGAAUUCAUCUCCGGGGGUAGAGCACUGUUUCGGCAAGGGGGUCAUCCCGACUUACCAACCCGAUGCAAACUGCGAAUACCGGAGAAUGUUAUCACGGGAGACACACGGCGGGUGCUAACGUCCGUCGUGAAGAGGGAAACAACCCAGACCGCCAGCUAAGGUCCCAAAGUCAUGGUUAAGUGGGAAACGAUGUGGGAAGGCCCAGACAGCCAGGAUGUUGGCUUAGAAGCAGCCAUCAUUUAAAGAAAGCGUAAUAGCUCACUGGUCGAGUCGGCCUGCGCGGAAGAUGUAACGGGGCUAAACCAUGCACCGAAGCUGCGGCAGCGACGCUGAUGCGUUGUUGGGUAGGGGAGCGUUCUGUAAGCCUGUGAAGGUGUACUGUGAGGUAUGCUGGAGGUAUCAGAAGUGCGAAUGCUGACAUAAGUAACGAUAAAGCGGGUGAAAAGCCCGCUCGCCGGAAGACCAAGGGUUCCUGUCCAACGUUAAUCGGGGCAGGGUGAGUCGACCCCUAAGGCGAGGCCGAAAGGCGUAGUCGAUGGGAAACAGGUUAAUAUUCCUGUACUUGGUGUUACUGCGAAGGGGGGACGGAGAAGGCUAUGUUGGCCGGGCGACGGUUGUCCCGGUUUAAGCGUGUAGGCUGGUUUUCCAGGCAAAUCCGGAAAAUCAAGGCUGAGGCGUGAUGACGAGGCACUACGGUGCUGAAGCAACAAAUGCCCUGCUUCCAGGAAAAGCCUCUAAGCAUCAGGUAACAUCAAAUCGUACCCCAAACCGACACAGGUGGUCAGGUAGAGAAUACCAAGGCGCUUGAGAGAACUCGGGUGAAGGAACUAGGCAAAAUGGUGCCGUAACUUCGGGAGAAGGCACGCUGAUAUGUAGGUGAAGUCCCUCGCGGAUGGAGCUGAAAUCAGUCGAAGAUACCAGCUGGCUGCAACUGUUUAUUAAAAACACAGCACUGUGCAAACACGAAAGUGGACGUAUACGGUGUGACGCCUGCCCGGUGCCGGAAGGUUAAUUGAUGGGGUUAGCGCAAGCGAAGCUCUUGAUCGAAGCCCCGGUAAACGGCGGCCGUAACUAUAACGGUCCUAAGGUAGCGAAAUUCCUUGUCGGGUAAGUUCCGACCUGCACGAAUGGCGUAAUGAUGGCCAGGCUGUCUCCACCCGAGACUCAGUGAAAUUGAACUCGCUGUGAAGAUGCAGUGUACCCGCGGCAAGACGGAAAGACCCCGUGAACCUUUACUAUAGCUUGACACUGAACAUUGAGCCUUGAUGUGUAGGAUAGGUGGGAGGCUUGGAAGUGUGGACGCCAGUCUGCAUGGAGCCGACCUUGAAAUACCACCCUUUAAUGUUUGAUGUUCUAACGUUGACCCGUGAUCCGGGUUGCGGACAGUGUCUGGUGGGUAGUUUGACUGGGGCGGUCUCCUCCUAAAGAGUAACGGAGGAGCACGAAGGUUGGCUAAUCCUGGUCGGACAUCAGGAGGUUAGUGCAAUGGCAUAAGCCAGCUUGACUGCGAGCGUGACGGCGCGAGCAGGUGCGAAAGCAGGUCAUAGUGAUCCGGUGGUUCUGAAUGGAAGGGCCAUCGCUCAACGGAUAAAAGGUACUCCGGGGAUAACAGGCUGAUACCGCCCAAGAGUUCAUAUCGACGGCGGUGUUUGGCACCUCGAUGUCGGCUCAUCACAUCCUGGGGCUGAAGUAGGUCCCAAGGGUAUGGCUGUUCGCCAUUUAAAGUGGUACGCGAGCUGGGUUUAGAACGUCGUGAGACAGUUCGGUCCCUAUCUGCCGUGGGCGCUGGAGAACUGAGGGGGGCUGCUCCUAGUACGAGAGGACCGGAGUGGACGCAUCACUGGUGUUCGGGUUGUCAUGCCAAUGGCACUGCCCGGUAGCUAAAUGCGGAAGAGAUAAGUGCUGAAAGCAUCUAAGCACGAAACUUGCCCCGAGAUGAGUUCUCCCUGACNNNNNNNNNNGUCCUGAAGGAACGUUGAAGACGACGACGUUGAUAGGCCGGGUGUGUAAGCGCAGCGAUGCGUUGAGCUAACCGGUACUAAUGAACCGUGAGGCUUAACCUU
RNAcentral lists this ribosomal RNA (2762 nucleotides) under Escherichia coli. RNAcentral describes it as "23S ribosomal RNA". It matches the Rfam family "Bacterial large subunit ribosomal RNA". The record is from RNAcentral. Lineage: Bacteria; Pseudomonadati; Pseudomonadota; Gammaproteobacteria; Enterobacterales; Enterobacteriaceae.